CCUACGGGUGGCAGCAGUGAGGAAUAUUGGUCAAUGGGCGCGAGCCUGAACCAGCCAAGUAGCGUGAAGGAUGACUGCCCUACGGGUUGUAAACUUCUUUUAUCAAGGAAUAAAGUGAGGCACGUGUGCCUUUUUGUAUGUACUUUCUGAAUAAGGAUCGGCUAACUCCGUUCCAGCAGCCGCGGUAAUACGGACGCUCCGAGCGUUAUCCGGAUUUAUUGGGUUUAAAGGGAGCGUAGGUGGGUUGUUAAGUCAGUUGUGAAAGUUUGCGGCUCAACCGUAAAAUUGCAGUUGAUCCUGGCAGUCUUGAGUACAGUGGAGGUAGGCAGAAUGCGUGGUGUAGCGGUGAAAUGCUUAGAUAUCACGAAGAACUCCGAUUGCGAAGGCAGCUUACUAGACUGCCACUGACAUUGAUGCUCGAAAGUGUGGGUAUCGAACAGGAUGAGAUACCCCGGUAGUC
This 460-nucleotide ribosomal RNA is filed under the name uncultured bacterium. Its description in RNAcentral is "partial 16S ribosomal RNA". It matches the Rfam family "Bacterial small subunit ribosomal RNA", at positions 338 to 795 of the family's 1533-position model. The record is from RNAcentral.